Molecule: ribosomal RNA, 733 nt
Filed under: uncultured eukaryote
Lineage: Eukaryota
Description: SSU rRNA
Rfam family: Eukaryotic small subunit ribosomal RNA
Source: RNAcentral
UAGUCUGGUGCCAGCAGCCGCGGUAAUUCCAGCUCCAAUAGCGUAUAUUAAAGUUGUUGCAGUUAAAACGCUCGUAGUCGGAUUUCGGGGCAGGUUUGCCGGUCUGCCGAUGGGUAUGCACUGGUAGAACUGUCCUUCCUUCCGGAGACGGCGCCUACUCUUAACUGAGCGGGUGUCGGAGACGGAUCGUUUACUUUGAAAAAAUCAGAGUGUUUCAAGCAGGCAGCUCGCUUUUGCAUGGAUUAGCAUGGGAUAAUGAAAUAGGACUUUGGUGCUAUUUUGUUGGUUUCGAACACCGAAGUAAUGAUUAACAGGGACAGUCAGGGGCACUCGUAUUCCGCCGAGAGAGGUGAAAUUCUUAGACCAGCGGAAGACGAACCACUGCGAAAGCAUUUGCCAGGGAUGUUUUCACUGAUCAAGAGCGAAAGUUAGGGGAUCGAAGACGAUCAGAUACCGUCGUAGUCUUAACCAUAAACCAUGCCGACUAGGGAUUGGAGGAUGUUCCUAUGUGACUCCUUCAGCACCUUUCGGGAAACUAAAGUCUUUGGGUUCCGGGGGGAGUAUGGUCGCAAGGCUGAAACUUAAAGGAAUUGACGGAAGGGCACCACCAGGAGUGGAGCCUGCGGCUUAAUUUGACUCAACACGGGGAAACUUACCAGGUCCAGACAUUGUGAGGAUUGACAGAUUGAGAGCUUUUUCUUGAUUCGAUGGGUGGUGGUGCAUGGCCGUUCUU